This 253-nucleotide ribosomal RNA is filed under the name uncultured bacterium. RNAcentral's name for it is "partial 16S ribosomal RNA". It matches the Rfam family "Bacterial small subunit ribosomal RNA", at positions 524 to 776 of the family's 1533-position model. The record is from RNAcentral.
UACGUAGGGUGCGAGCGUUGUCCGGAAUUACUGGGCGUAAAGAGCUCGUCGGUGCUUUGUCGCGUUGUCCGUGAAAACUCACAACUCAAUUGUGGGCGUGCGGGCGAUACGGGCAGACUGGAGUACUGCAGGGGAGACUGGAAUUCCUGGUGUAGCGGUGGAAUGCGCAGAUAUCAGGAGGAACACCGGUGGCGAAGGCGGGUCUCUGGGCAGUAACUGACGCUGAGGAGCGAAAGCGUGGGGAGCGAACAGG